Molecule: ribosomal RNA, 422 nt
Filed under: uncultured bacterium
Lineage: Bacteria
Description: bacterial SSU rRNA
Rfam family: Bacterial small subunit ribosomal RNA
Source: RNAcentral
UAAGGAAUAUUGGACAAUGGAGGCAACUCUGAUCCAGCCAUGCCGCGUGAAGGAAUAAGGCCCUAUGGGUUGUAAACUUCUUUUAGACGGGACAAAACCCCUUUACGUGUAAAGGGUUGAUGGUACUGUCAGGAUAAGCAUCGGCUAACUUCGUGCCAGCAGCCGCGGUAAUACGAAGGAUGCAAGCGUUAUCCGGAAUUAUUGGGUUUAAAGGGUGCGUAGGCGGACUAAUAAGUCAGUGGUGAAAUCCUGCAGCUUAACUGCAGAAUUGCCAUUGAUACUGUUAGUCUUGAGUACAGUUGAGGUCGGCGGAAUGUGGCAUGUAGCGGUGAAAUGCUUAGAUAUGACACAGAACACCGAUUGCGAAGGCAGCUUGCUAAGCUGUAACUGACGCUGAGGCACGAAAGCGUGGGGAGCAAACA